AGGGAGAUUCUCACACCUUAGCCAUUCUUUUUAGGUGACAAAUCUCAGGAACGAUCCCAGAUUGACAUAUCAAUAGAAGUUUUGGAACAAAUAGGUAAAUUAAACAGUACUAAGUCAGCAGGACCAAAUGGUAUUCACGCAAGAGUUCUGAAGGAACUCAAGCAUGAAAUAGCAAAACUACUAACUGUGGUACGUAACCUAUCACUUAAAUCAGCUUCUGUACCCAAUGACUGGAGCACAGCUAAUGUAAUACCAAUUUUUGAAAAAGGCUCCAGAGCCGAUCCCAGCAAUUAUAGACCAGUUAGACUAACUUCAGUACCAGGCAAAUUGAUUGAACCAAUAGUAAAGAACACAAUUAUCAGACAUAUAGAUGAACAUGAUUUAUUGGGGGAAAGUCAACGUGGCUUUUGUAAACAGAAAUCAUGCCUCACCAAUCUAUUAGAAUUCUUUGAGGGGGUGAACAAACAUGUGAUCAAGGGUGAUCCAGUGGAUAUUGUGUAUUUGGACUGUUUCAGAAAGCUUGUAACA
Long non-coding RNA from Chelonia mydas (Green sea turtle), 528 nucleotides. RefSeq lists it as uncharacterized. The transcript has 3 exons. NCBI's taxonomy places the organism in Eukaryota, Metazoa, Chordata, Testudines, Cheloniidae. The record is from RefSeq and is a predicted model, not a curated record.